RNAcentral lists this ribosomal RNA (433 nucleotides) under uncultured bacterium. Its description in RNAcentral is "partial 16S ribosomal RNA". It matches the Rfam family "Bacterial small subunit ribosomal RNA", at positions 29 to 507 of the family's 1533-position model. The record is from RNAcentral.
AGCGAACGCUGGCGGCAGGCCUAACACAUGCAAGUCGAACGAACUCUUCGGAGUUAGUGGCGGACGGGGGAGUAACACGUGGGAACGUGCCUUUUGGUUCGGAAUAACUCAGGGAAACUUGUGCUAAUACCGAAUGUGCCCUUCGGGGGAAAGAUUUAUCGCCAUUAGAGCGGCCCGUGUCUGAUUAGCUAGUUGGUGAGGUAACGGCUCACCAAGGCGACGAUCAGUAGCUGGUCUGAGAGGAUGACCAGCCACACUGGGACUGAGACACGGCCCAGUCUCCUACGGGAGGCAGCAGUGGGGAAUCUUGCGCAAUGGGCGAAAGCCUGACGCAGCCAUGCCGCGUGAAUGAUGCAGGUCUUAGGAUUGUAAAAUUCUUUCAGCGGGGACGAUAAUGACGGUACCCGGAGAAGAAGCCCCGGCUAACUUCGUG